GUGAGGAAUUUUCCGCAAUGUGCGAAAGCCUGACGGAGCAAUGCCGCGUGAAGGAUGAAGGCCUAUGGGUUGUAAACUUCUUUUCUCAGAAAAGAAUUAUGACGGUAUCUGAGGAAUAAGCAUCGGCUAACUCUGUGCCAGCAGCCGCGGUAAGACAGAGGAUGCAAGCGUUAUCCGGAAUGAUUGGGCGUAAAGCGUCUGUAGGUUGUUUAAAAAGUAUUCUGUCAAAGAUUAGGGCUUAACCCUAGAUAGGCAGAAUAAACUUUUAAGCUAGAGUUUGGUAGAGGCAGAGGGAAUUCCCGGUGGAGCGGUGAAAUGCGUAGAUAUCGGGAGGAACACCAAAGGCGAAGGCACUCUGCUGGGCCAAUACUAACACUGAGAGACGAAAGCGAGGGGAGCAAAUGGGAUUAGAAACCCGGGUAGUCC
Molecule: ribosomal RNA, 426 nt
Filed under: uncultured bacterium
Lineage: Bacteria
Description: partial 16S ribosomal RNA
Rfam family: Bacterial small subunit ribosomal RNA
Source: RNAcentral